AACGACUCUCGGCAACGGAUAUCUCGGCUCUCGCAUCGAUGAAGAACGUAGCGAAAUGCGAUACUUGGUGUGAAUUGCAGAAUCCCGUGAACCAUCGAGUCUUUGAACGCAAGUUGCGCCCUAAGCCUUUAGGCCGAGGGCACGUCUGCCUGGGUGUCACGCAU
Molecule: ribosomal RNA, 164 nt
Filed under: Aristotelia serrata
Lineage: Eukaryota; Viridiplantae; Streptophyta; Magnoliopsida; Oxalidales; Elaeocarpaceae
Also listed under: 1 other name
Description: 5.8S ribosomal RNA
Rfam family: 5.8S ribosomal RNA
About the family: 5.8S ribosomal RNA (5.8S rRNA) is a component of the large subunit of the eukaryotic ribosome. It is transcribed by RNA polymerase I as part of the 45S precursor that also contains 18S and 28S rRNA.
Source: RNAcentral